GACGAACGCUGGCGGCGUGCUUAACACAUGCAAGUCGAACGGAAAGGCCCUGCAUUUGUGGGGUGCUCGAGUGGCGAACGGGUGAGUAACACGUGAGUAACCUGCCCUUGACUUUGGGAUAACUUCAGGAAACUGGGGCUAAUACCGGAUAGGAGCUCCUGCUGCAUGGUGGGGGUUGGAAAGUUUCGGCGGUUGGGGAUGGACUCGCGGCUUAUCAGCUUGUUGGUGGGGUAGUGGCUUACCAAGGCUUUGACGGGUAGCCGGCCUGAGAGGGUGACCGGGCACAUUGGGACUGAGAUACGGACCAGACUCCUACGGGAGGCAGCAGUGGGGAAUAUUGCACAAUGGGCGGAAGCCUGAUGCAGCAACGCCGCGUGCGGGAUGACGGCCUUCGGGUUGUAAACCGCUUUCGCCUGUGACGAAGCGUGAGUGACGGUAAUGGGUAAAGAAGCACCGGCUAACUACGUG
Molecule: ribosomal RNA, 468 nt
Filed under: uncultured bacterium
Lineage: Bacteria
Description: partial 16S ribosomal RNA
Rfam family: Bacterial small subunit ribosomal RNA
Source: RNAcentral